UUUAUUUCACAAAAUGGCUGCA
RNAcentral lists this non-coding RNA (22 nucleotides) under Arabidopsis thaliana (thale cress). Lineage: Eukaryota; Viridiplantae; Streptophyta; Magnoliopsida; Brassicales; Brassicaceae. The record is from RNAcentral.